Molecule: ribosomal RNA, 372 nt
Filed under: uncultured bacterium
Lineage: Bacteria
Description: bacterial SSU rRNA
Rfam family: Bacterial small subunit ribosomal RNA
Source: RNAcentral
UACGGAGGAUGCAAGCGUUAUCCGGAUUCAUUGGGUUUAAAGGGUGCGUAGGCGGACUAUUAAGUCAGUGGUGAAAGCCUGCAGCUUAACUGCAGAACUGCCAUUGAUACUGAUAGUCUUGAGUUUGGUUAAGGUAGGCGGAAUGUGUAAUGUAGCGGUGAAAUGCUUAGAUAUUACACAGAACACCAAUUGCGUAGGCAGCUUACUGAGCCGACACUGACGCUGAGGCACGAAAGCGUGGGGAUCGAACAGGAUUAGAUACCCUGGUAGUCCACGCCGUAAACGAUGAUUACUCGCUGUUGGCGAUACACUGUCAGCGGCUAAGCAAAAGCAAUAAGUAAUCCACCUGGGGAGUACGGCCGCAAGGUUGAA